RNAcentral lists this ribosomal RNA (219 nucleotides) under uncultured bacterium. RNAcentral's name for it is "partial 16S ribosomal RNA". It matches the Rfam family "Bacterial small subunit ribosomal RNA", at positions 57 to 305 of the family's 1533-position model. The record is from RNAcentral.
GCAAGUCGAGCGCACCCUUCGGGGGGAGCGGCGGACGGGUUAGUAACGCGUGGGAACGUACCCUUCACUAUGGAAUAGCCCUUGGAAACGAUGAAUAAUACCGUAUACGCCCUUCGGGGGAAAGAAUUUCGGUGAAGGAUCGGCCCGCGUUAGAUUAGAUAGUUGGUGGGGUAAUGGCCUACCAAGUCUACGAUCUAUAGCUGGUUUGAGAGGAUGAUC